This 246-nucleotide ribosomal RNA is filed under the name uncultured Lactobacillus sp. Its description in RNAcentral is "partial 16S ribosomal RNA". It matches the Rfam family "Bacterial small subunit ribosomal RNA", at positions 116 to 354 of the family's 1533-position model. Lineage: Bacteria; Bacillati; Bacillota; Bacilli; Lactobacillales; Lactobacillaceae. The record is from RNAcentral.
CGUGGGUAACCUGCCCAAGAGAUCGGGAUAACACCUGGAAACAGAUGCUAAUACCGGAUAACAACAGAUGAUGCCUAUCAACUGUUUAAAAGAUGGUUCUGCUAUCACUAUUGGAUGGACCUGCGGUGCAUUAGCUAGUUGGUAGGGUAACGGCCUACCAAGGCGAUGAUGCAUAGCCGAGUUGAGAGACUGAUCGGCCACAUUGGGACUGAGACACGGCCCAAACUCCUACGGGAGGCAGCAGGC